RNAcentral lists this unclassified non-coding RNA (3080 nucleotides) under Hevea brasiliensis (rubber tree). The record is from RNAcentral. Lineage: Eukaryota; Viridiplantae; Streptophyta; Magnoliopsida; Malpighiales; Euphorbiaceae.
CUGCCACAAUAUGUGUUUCCUCAACUUUCACGUCUUGCACUUCAAAUACAUUUUCUAGGGAAUCACAAUCAAUUGCUGUCAGUGACUCAAGACUUUUUGAUCUUCUGAAUGCAUUAGAAGGGAAAAUAGCCUGUAGUUUCCCACAGUGCUUAACUUUCACAGCCUUUAAUUUGCAAAAAGAAUUUUCAGUGGCUUGGUUGCUCCAAAGCAUCUUCAAGCUAUGCAAGUGGGCGAUUUUCAUUACUUUCAAGGAUGGAAGUGAAACCUUUUCACUGAAGAGAGGCUUUAUAGCAGUGUGGAGGUUAUUCCCCAUGCACGUUCCAUCUAGUUCCUUUUCAACUGUUAUGUCAGCAGUUGUAGGGCUGAAAAUGAAUUCCUUCAAUUCCGGGCAAUGUUUUAUGUACAAUUUGUUCAAGGAUGGAAAUACAGCAGAAUUUCCCCAACAGAAUCUUGUGACAUGAGGAAGAUCUUUUAGGCUUAAGAAUUCAAGUUGAGGGAAUGACAACGUCCCCAUCCAUGCCUCCCCCGAUGUAACAAAUAUGUCUUUGAUAGCAGUGCAUUUGUGAACCUCAAAACGUUUGAGUUUGAUAAGACUUACUGAAGCAGAGGAUGGUAACAGAUAACUCAAAUUAUGACAGCUCUUCACACGCAACAAUGUUAGGUUUUGGAAGCUGGAUAUUACUUGUGGGUUUCCAGCAGUACUUCUCAGAGUUUGAUCUUGCCAUAACCGUUGAGAGCCAAUUGCAAUGAGAUUCAAAAACUCCAAGUUGGAGAACUCAAUCUUGUCACUGAAAAGUGGUGUGGAAGUAUCUAGCUCAUUCUGCAAAAUUGUUUCUUCAGAACAAAGGUCUUCUGUUGGUGUUUUCUUCCUCCAUGGAGACACGGUUGCCUCUGUCACUUUGGAGCAGAAACUCGUGAGCUCGGGUAGACAUUCUAGUUCCAAGGAGUGUAAAUGCAAAAACUGAAUCUCAGCACUAGUUUCCUUGUCAUUGAUAUCCUCCUCUCCCUCCUUAGUUACAAUCUCAUGCAUGACCUUGCAAUCAGCUACUUUGAUUUCUUGAAGUUGCACAAGGUCUCUAACCAUGGAAAAUGAAAACAGGUUCUUCAACCUGUCACAGUUUUCUACCUUCACAAUUCUUAACUUAUGGAAAGACAUUGUUGUUAGCUGGCCAUGGCAUAUCAUCUCUAAGUUAAUCAAUCUGUGAAGAACCAAUGACUCUAGGAUAGGAAAAGCAGUGCAAGGAUCCCCCUCCAUUGAAUCAAUGAGAUAUUGAAUCUCAUUGCUGUUUUGAACAUGAAGAUGCUUCAAACGUGGAAAACCUUCACUGUCUAAUUCGCAAACUACAUUCCUCAGCCCCUCCAGUCCAUCCAAAUAUAGAUCUUCAGCGCUCUUCAACAGGAUGACAGCUCGCCCCUGCUGAAUGCUUGUAUCAAGCUUGAGCUUCAAGGUUCUUGAUGUUUCAUUCUCACCAGACCAAUCCCAGAUAUCACCAAUAAAUAUUCGGUAUCUUGUCAACCUUUCAAAGAGGUAGUCUUUUGGCAUAACCUUGGCAUCCGGAAUGUGUACAUCUAAAUAGACCAAGUUAGGCAGUUGCUUCAACUCAGCAAUGCUAGCAUUACCCCUUUGAGUGUUGAUUGGAUCCUCCCAUCCAACAAAGCUAUUUGCCAUAUGUAACUCUUCUAAUUGGAACAAGCUUGAAAUGACAUUGGGCGGUAUGACUUUGAGUUUCAUACAAUUGCUCAAAUCCAACAACUUUAGCCGAGUCAGUUGCCUGAUCUCCCUUGGCAACUGUGCAAUAUCAGAUCCAGCAAAGCUAAGAAUGGCUAAUUUCUUCAGCUCUCCAACUAUCGCUACAUCUCCCAGCACACAUUGAUGAAGACAUAAAGUUCGGAGGCUUCCCAGAAAACAAAGUGAUGAAGGCAGGGCAGGAAAAUGCACUUUUGCAAUGUGUAAGACUUUGAGUGCAUUCAAUCCCUUGAAAAAAUUUUCUGGAAUUUUCAGAGAAGGAUCCUCACAUCCCAUAUAAAAGAACUUAAGCUUGGGGCAGCGCAACCGAUCAGGUAGCUCUCUAAUAUCGCAAUACUGAAGAGAGAUUGCAGUGCACUUGUUCAAUGUAUCCUCAUCUGGCCAUUCCACCAACUCAACAUCAUCUCUCACUACAAAUACGUGAUUUUCCCUAGAUGCAAUUGACAUGGCAACAUCACGAACCACAUCAUGCAUACCAAAACCAUCAGUGCUAGUACCAUCUACCAACAAACAUGAAGCCUUGAGAUUGCGGACCAGUGUAUAAACUCUGUCCCGCGCUUCUUCAGUCGUAUAAACAUCUUGUAGUAAGCCCAAACCCAUGCCAUACUUCAGCAAAUCCUGGAUAGAAGCAUUAUAAUUCAUCAGACCGCAAAGCAAGAAAGUUGACUUGAGUUCCUCACUUUCUAAUUGAUGGUAACUCAAUUCUAGAGUUGAAUAUAUGACUGCCUGCAUUCCCCUCAUGUUUCUUGAGUUGGGCCUUUUUAGUUGUCGCGAGGCAUUCUUCCACUCAAAUGAAUUUUUAUUACGCAGUGCUCUUGCAACGGUUACAAUUGCAACUGGCAGACCUGCACAUUCCUUAGCUAUCUCAACUGCUGUAGAUUGCAGGUCAGGAUCUUCAACAGAAUCGCCUGCCAUCUUUUUGAAAAGAUCCCAAGCUUCCUGAUCUGUUAAUACUCCAACUGCAAAAGUUUUUUGGGCAUCCAUUUCAGUGGAUAACACAUCCAAACUUCUUGAAGCCAGCAAUAUCUUGCAUCCUUUAUGAGCAUUUCCAUAAGGAAUUCCAACUUCCUCCAAAUCAAGCCUUGCCCAAAUAUCAUCUAGAAUCACAAGGAUUUUCUUCUCCUUCUUUAACCUCUCACGCAGAUGACCUGCUCUUCCAGCGACAGACUCCUCAUCGAAUCUCAGGCCCAGCUUAUCUGCAAUUUCUCCUUGAAUUUUUUUCAAUUCUGGAUUCUGAGUAACAGUUGCCAUAACCACAUCAUCGAAUAACUUGUUUUCCAAAGCCAGCCUACCAAGCUCUUUAAGUAGUGUGGUCUUCCCCACACCUCCCAUU